CAACGAUUCUGACUUAAGCGUUGAAUUGGACUCUUAAAUGAGUUUUACACCAUAUUGGUCCAGCCCAUAUGAGAUGCUAAUCGGUUCUUUGUUUUCCUUUUUCUUUUUUUACAACUUUCUAGAUUCUUUCACUCUAAUUCUUCUCUCUCCAACUUUACUCUUUUUUCCUCCUUUACUCUUUCCACUUUCGUUGUUUAUGUUUCUUUUUCUCAAUUGAAUUUUCAUCCAUUGUUGCUGGCUUGCUGCUUAAAUUCAAGGCUCGAUUUGCUCAUAAGUUCAUUAAAGUGCUGCCUCCUUGAUUAUCAGUUUUUUUUUUUCGUUUAACUUCAGUAUUUCAUUUAAGUGCAUGUCAAGCUCUGGCUCGACCUUUGCAAAGAAGAGAAAAAAUGCUACUGGUAGUAGAUCAGACCCUGGAUGGGAGCAUGGUUUUCAGGUUGAUAAUGAUACUAAAAAGGUAUGGUGCAAAUAUUGUUCAGUAGUGCGUUCUGAUGGUAUAUUUAGACAUAAGCAUCACCUUGCUGGAACUGGUUGUAAUGUGGAAGCUUGCUUGCAAGUCCCUGAUGAUGUAAAACAAAAAUUUAAGGCAAUAUUACAAUCUAAUGUUGAG
Chenopodium quinoa (quinoa) is the source of this 607-nucleotide long non-coding RNA. RefSeq lists it as uncharacterized. NCBI's taxonomy places the organism in Eukaryota, Viridiplantae, Streptophyta, Magnoliopsida, Caryophyllales, Amaranthaceae. The transcript is spliced from 2 exons. The record is from RefSeq and is a predicted model, not a curated record.